AUAAUAAUUAAGCAAUAAAAGCACUUUUAUUGCUUAAUUAUUUGUAUAUAUACACAUUAAUUGUGAUUGUUUUUCCCAUUUAGCCAAAUUUCAAUCCAGCCAAAUACCCCAUCUAUAUCCUCCUCUCUCAACAAUUUUUUUUUUUUGUUAUGUAUGGUAGUUUGCUUGUAGAAUUCCCAAGAGUCAACCUUGUGUUAUACCAUAACCAGCUGUUUAUCUUCUAGUACAUAUCUCAACCUCUGAACUCCCAUAAAUAUCUUAAAUGUAAUAAUAAACAAGGCAAGUGACUCCAAAGGUUGCUUUAAGUUGUGCCAUAAAAACAUUAUGGUUUUAUUUGCUAAGCUGGAAAUUGUGAGGAACUGAUCUAAAAUUGUACAUUUCAGGUGAAAAACUUGACUAUUUUUCCAUUUUGUAUAUUUUAGUGAAAAAAAAACAUUACGUAUUGGAAAAAUUCCUGCUAGAAGGCUGGGGGUAUGGGGAGUAAGGUUUUUUUUUUGUUUUUUUUGUAGUGAAUUGUAUCUUGCACAACUACAUCUCAAUGUUCUAGCUAAGAUCCGAAGACGUGACUAUACAGCUGAGUUUCAGAAUUCCAAAUAAGCUAUUUGUCCUAGGAGUUCCAUUAAUAACAACUCGCUGUAAAUAGAAAAGAGACACUAUACCUAAACAUAACUGAGGGCUUUAUCCACCAAACCAGAAAUGUUUAAAAAUUCACAGGGGAAUUGAAGAUUUAAGCCCAACAUAGUCCUACUAGGAAAAUAGCUGAAUGGAGACGUUUUUCUUUUUUACUAUUCUCGCUUAAUAUAUGCAAUCCGCUUGUCAAUUCUCACAAUCUGUAAUUCAGAGAAUACGCUAUAUAGUUCCAUAUUUGACACAUGACAGAAUCUGAAAAUUUGAUAGAGUUUUGAAGCUUUAUGUUCAUUUAGAAACAAAGCAAAACAUCCAUUCUAAUAACUCUUCCAUUGUUUAAGCUAAAUGUUAAUGUUAACAAGUUAUCAAGUUAUGCAUUGUUAACCUACCAAAUAAUCUGUAAUAUCAAUGUCUAAUUAAAUAAAUUUUGAUUUUAUUUGAAAGAGAACAUUAUCUAAUUACUAGUUAUACAAGCUCUACUCCAAUCUAAGCUUUUUAAUAUUGUCAAUAUCGAUGUAUUUAAUUGACAUGUCACCUAAUGAAAGGUUUGAUGCAUUUUAAUUUAUAGGUUUGUUUUUGUUUGUUUUUGUUUAUGUAAGCUCUACUGUAUAAUAUCUGUACUAGAAAUUAUAGAAUGUUUAUUAGUUUUUUUUGUUUGAUUGUUCUGUAAGAGACACAACUGGUAUCAGAAAUUCCUAUACGGAUAGAAGGCGAGAUGAAGAUAAGACUGAUUGUGAGUGGCCAAUCGGUGAUGGAAUUUCUGGUACUGUAUGUCUGAUUGGUAGACCUCAGUGUUCUAUUUUAGAAUGCUGGCAUACUGCACUUUCACUCUUACCCACAUAUAUAACGUCCCACCUCUGUGGCAUAGAGUUAAAGGUGGAGCAAGAUGUAUUGCUCAAAACCAAUCAGAAUUUCACUGCAGAUCUGUUCUUUAUAUUUUACUCUGUAUAAUGCUAACUUUGCCAUUAUGAUUGGAUAAAAAUAAUGGGAAAUGUAGUUCACCUUCUGGCUUGCCCAGAUUAGCUUCCACUGCUAUAUAUAUAUAUGUAUUUAUAUAACUCUCAUUCAAAGUACAAGUUUUCUUCCUUGAAGAAUUAUAUAAAAUGGAGUAUUAAUGUCUGAGUUUUAAGUAGAUAUGUAAAUAACAUUUCUAUUUAUCAUCUCACUUUUAUUGUUGUUCUUGAAUAAUGUAAGUGUCAGCAGAAAAAAAAAAACUAACAAUCAAAAUGUAAUUUAUUUUGAGUGAUAUUAAUGAGGUUGUUCCCAUUGUCCCACAGGUGUAACUAUCAGCUUGUGUGUACCGUGCAUCAAUGCUUUAUAAGUGUUGUUUUUAACUUGCCUUGUACAUAUUUUUAUUGCAAAUAAAGUCAUUUUUUUUAAAU
Molecule: non-coding RNA, 2009 nt
Organism: Pelobates cultripes (western spadefoot toad)
Lineage: Eukaryota; Metazoa; Chordata; Amphibia; Anura; Pelobatidae
Source: the annotation of a GenBank genome assembly